This is a long non-coding RNA of Harpia harpyja (harpy eagle), 257 nucleotides long. RefSeq lists it as uncharacterized. Lineage: Eukaryota; Metazoa; Chordata; Aves; Accipitriformes; Accipitridae. The record is from RefSeq and is a predicted model, not a curated record. The transcript is spliced from 3 exons.
AAAUAGAGUGAAUCAGCUGUGGGAACAAUAAUGAGCUUCAUAUUCUGCAAAGAUCGAAGAUGGAGUGACACUUAAAAAGCAUUAGAGGAGGCAUGUGCACAUUACAGUUACUUAGCCGUAACGAGGAGCUAUACCACAACCUUGAUUUUGCCAAGUUGGGGAUGAGCACAUAAGAACAGUCACAUUCCCAGCGGACUGCACGCAUUCAUGGAAUACUGCAUCUACAUCUGCUACGUACAGAACCUACUCAAUCAAUA